RNAcentral lists this ribosomal RNA (492 nucleotides) under uncultured bacterium. Its description in RNAcentral is "partial 16S ribosomal RNA". It matches the Rfam family "Bacterial small subunit ribosomal RNA", at positions 29 to 507 of the family's 1533-position model. The record is from RNAcentral.
AGUGAACGCUGGCGGUAGGCCUAACACAUGCAAGUCGAACGGCAGCACAGUAAGAGCUUGCUCUUACGGGUGGCGAGUGGCGGACGGGUGAGGAAUACAUCGGAAUCUACUUUUUCGUGGGGGAUAACGUAGGGAAACUUACGCUAAUACCGCAUACGACCUACGGGUGAAAGCAGGGGAUCUUCGGACCUUGCGCGAUUGAAUGGGCCGAUGUCGGAUUAGCUAGUUGGCGGGGUAAAGGCCCACCAAGGCGACGAUCCGUAGCUGGUCUGAGAGGAUGAUCAGCCACACUGGAACUGAGACACGGUCCAGACUCCUACGGGAGGCAGCAGUGGGGAAUAUUGGACAAUGGGCGCAAGCCUGAUCCAGCCAUACCGCGUGGGUGAAGAAGGCCUUCGGGCUGUAAAGCCCUUUUGUUGGGAAAGAAAAGCAGCAGGUUAAUACCCCGCUGUUCUGACGGUACCCAAAGAAUAAGCACCGGCUAACUUCGUG